AAGCUCGUAGUUGAACCUUGGACCUGGCUGAUCUGUCCUCCUAAUCGAGCGUACGGAUUCGGUCGGGUCUUUCCUUCUGGGGAACCCUAUGUCCUUCAUUGGGUGUAGUGGGGAACCAGGACUUUUACCUUGAAAAAAUUAGAGUGUUCAAAGCAGGCCUUUGCUCGAAUACAUUAGCAUGGAAUAAUAGAAUAGGACAUCGGUUCUAUUUUGUUGGUUUCUAGGACCGCUGUAAUGAUUAAUAGGGAUAGUCGGGGGCGUCCGUAUUCAAUUGUCAGAGGUGAAAUUCUUGGAUUUAUUGAAGACGAACUACUGCGAAAGCAUUCGCCAAGGAUGUUUUCAUUAAUCAGUGAACGAAAGUUAGGGGAUCGGAGACGAUCAGAUACCGUCGUAGUCUUAACCCUAAACUAUGCCGACUAGGGAUCGGACGGUGGUUUUUUUAUGCCCCGUUCGGCACCU
This 459-nucleotide ribosomal RNA is filed under the name uncultured Cyphellophora. RNAcentral's name for it is "SSU rRNA". It matches the Rfam family "Eukaryotic small subunit ribosomal RNA", at positions 624 to 1088 of the family's 1831-position model. Lineage: Eukaryota; Fungi; Ascomycota; Eurotiomycetes; Chaetothyriales; Herpotrichiellaceae. The record is from RNAcentral.